CAAACCUUGAUAGUUCUACAGGUAGCUUUCGGUUUAUUCCUUUUUUUGGGCGCUGACUGUUCUUCUCUUCUCUUCCCUCGCCUCUCUCUUUGCUCUUCAAGGCACUGUACUAUCUCUUCCUCGCAAAUCUCCUUCUUCCAAGCUUUAACAUCUCAUAUCAGAAUGGCAUUGCAAUCAGCAAGCAACCCAACUACCCCUAG
Molecule: unclassified non-coding RNA, 200 nt
Filed under: Hevea brasiliensis (rubber tree)
Lineage: Eukaryota; Viridiplantae; Streptophyta; Magnoliopsida; Malpighiales; Euphorbiaceae
Source: RNAcentral